CAAUCCUCCUGCCUUGGCCUCCAGAGUCAUUGGAAUUACAGGCAUGACCAAUGCAUGAAAGAGACCUGAGCUGGCUGCCAUGGUAGCAGUGCAGACACCCUGGCUGAGGCCCCAGGCAGAAGUCAGACGAGGCAGAGAAAAAAGAGGCAGAAGUAAAUCUGCCAGAAAUCAGUGAGCAAGUGUUCUGAAGAGAAGCAGAGCAAAGAUCAAAGUGAAAGGUGGCAACGGAAGAAUGACCAGAAAAACAUGAGAAAGGUUAAAAGGACCUGGCCUGCCACCAGUGUCAAAGAAACCCAGCUCUGGGGAAAAGAUGGCCACACACUGGACAAAGGUACUCGCUGGCCACCUGGUCAGUUAGCAAAGGACAGCAUUCUGUCAGCACCAAAAUAAAACAAGGCUGACAACA
Non-coding RNA from Ictidomys tridecemlineatus (thirteen-lined ground squirrel), 406 nucleotides. Lineage: Eukaryota; Metazoa; Chordata; Mammalia; Rodentia; Sciuridae. The record is from RefSeq and is a predicted model, not a curated record.